This 497-nucleotide ribosomal RNA is filed under the name uncultured bacterium. RNAcentral's name for it is "partial 16S ribosomal RNA". It matches the Rfam family "Bacterial small subunit ribosomal RNA", at positions 28 to 507 of the family's 1533-position model. The record is from RNAcentral.
GAUGAACGCUGGCGGCGUGCCUAAUACAUGCGAGUCGAGCGAACAGACGAGGAGCUUGCUCCUCUGACGUUAGCGGCGGACGGGUGAGUAACACGUGGAUAACCUACCUAUAAGACUGGGAUAACUUCGGGAAACCGGAGCUAUUACCGGAUAAUAUAUUGAACCGCAUGGUUCAAUAGUGAAAGACGGUUUUGCUGUCACUUAUAGAUGGAUCCGCGCCGCAUUAGCUAGUUGGUAAGGUAACGGCUUACCAAGGCGACGAUGCGUAGCCGACCUGAGAGGGUGAUCGGCCACACUGGAACUGAGACACGGUCCAGACUCCUACGGGAGGCAGCAGUAGGGAAUCUUCCGCAAUGGGCGAAAGCCUGACGGAGCAACGCCGCGUGAGUGAUGAAGGUCUUCGGAUCGUAAAACUCUGUUAUUAGGGAAGAACAAAUGUGUAAGUAACUAUGCACGUCUUGACGGUACCUAAUCAGAAAGCCACGGCUAACUACGUG